UUUGCGCAUGAUCCUGUUUAAAGGCUGAGACGUCUGCGUUUAGACAAUCAGGCUUCCCGCUGAUCAGCAAACAUUUAGUGCCUUGUGUCUUCCUGCGGCUCUUAUAGAGAUAUUACCACACGUGUUGGCGGAUUCAGACUUCUUUGUCUAACUGAAUGUCUUUCCUUGUGCCUGGGGGGACUUUCCCUUAGCAUGCCCACCUCCACCCAAGAUCCGCAAUGGGCAUCUCAUCGGAGGACGUGUAGCUCCCUAUCUCCCUGGGAUGACAGUCACCUACACUUGUGACCCAGGCUACCUGUUGGUGGGAAAAGCCUUCAUUUUCUGUAUGCACCAGGGAACCUGGAGCCAGUCUGAUCAGGAUUGCAAAGGGCCAUAUGAUGCUCUCAUAGUUGUUAAGUUUCAUGAAGGAUUUGCUGAGGUACUCUAGCAUCUUUAACACAGUGAUACAGAUGAAAAAUCUAAAGAAGGGAUUAUCCACUUACAUCCUCAAGAAAGCAACCUUCUUCAUCCUCAAACUCUACAAACAAAUCAGGAAAAUAACAGGUAUAUUUGGUCAUCAUCUCCAGUUCCUGUAAACACUGCAGAAUCUUAAAGUUGAAAUGGGUGUUUUUGUCAUGUAGAGACUUUUGAACCCUACCCAAGGGCAGGAGCUACAAACUGAAUCAGCCAAUUGCCAAUAAUUAAGUCAAUCAUGACUAUGGAAAGGAAGGCCUCACAACAACCCCUGAGAAGAACUUCUCUCUGUCUCUGCUGAGCUUGGUUGGAUCCUGCUUCGUGGCCAGAGAGCGCAUGUAUGCCUGGGGAACCAGAACGCCUCCCUGCUCCACCAAGCCAGGCCCCAAGCUCCAGGAGGAUAGAAGCUCCUUUAUGUGAGGCCUUGCCCUGUGUCUCUCUUCAUCUGGCUGUUAACUUGUAUCCUUUACCAUAUCCUUCAUCAAACUGGUAAAUGUUGAGUGUUUUGCUGAGUUGUGUGAGCCCCUCUGGCAAAUUAAUUGAACCUAAGUGGAAGGUCGUAGAACCUCCAGUUUGUAGCCAGUUUGUCAGAAGCACAGGUACUGCCUGGGGCUUGCGGCCAGCAUUUGGAGUAGGGGGUGGAGGGCAGUCUUGUAGGAUGUGGCCCUUUAUCUGGGAAUCCAGUGCUGUCUCUGGACAGAGGGCAUCAGAAUUGAGUUGAGUUCUUCAACACCCUGCUGGUGUUCGAGAAUUGCUUGGUGUAAGUACGUGUGGGAAGACCCCCCUCCCACAUACUUUCACACAUUGGAAUCAGGUGUGGGAACCCGAAUGAAGUUAUACUACUAUUACUGCUGGGUAUAAAACACCAUUGCAUUUGGUGUCUGAGGAGAGGGAUUCACACUGUUUUAAAAAGGCAUUAAACUAUUAUAGAGGAGAUGGCUUAAGACUAUUCAAGAGAAAUAUCAGAAAUAAAAUUAAGCUUUGGAUGCUUCCUAAGCUCUAUUUCAAAAGCAUUUUGUAUUAUGUUCUGUAUUAAAACAAUACUAAAAUUUAAAUAACAAUGAUUUUAUAAUAAAAAUAACUAGAUUACUUUCAUAUGGAUUCAGAAUACACUAAAAACUAAGAGAAGAUGAGUUUUAAGAGUUUAGCAAAUUAAUAAACAUGUAUUGACACAUUCUAAAUAAGUAGUCUGGAGUCUUCAGUGGAUUUACAUCUUUAUAGAUCAAAAUUUUAUUUGGCACAAUCUUCUCUAGAAAAUAUCAGUAACUUUCUGGAUACUUAACAACAAAUGUGUAUGUAACUACUACUACCUUCUUUGUAACUCUGGAUUUUAAUAGUUGCUUUUAAAGUGUAUUUUCACACAUUGACCUUGAUAAACAUAAAGAGUGAACUGGAUAUCAACUUGAUUUUCAAUUUAAAAUCAUGCAAGAUAGAAAACACAAACAACAUAGCAAUGUCAAUAGACAAAAUGGGAGAAAGAACUGCAACUUAUAUCACAAAGGGAAACCAGCUUAUUUAGAGAAUUAAAAAUUCAAAGACCAACCCUCCCCCCACCAAAAGGGCAAAGGACAACAUCCAGGUCACCAAAAGAAGAAAGGUAAAGAGUCCACAAAUACAUAAAUAGAAUCUCAAUGGUUUUGCUUAGUCGGUACUUUAGCAAAUCUCUAUUAUUUCUUGUGCUCCUAAAGAAGCAAAUUUUAGAGGAGGGUAUAAAUUAAUGCUUAGGAAUUGUCCUUCCUUAGAAUUAAAAUUACCCAUCACAAGAAAAAAUCAUGAAUUCCUAUUUUUACCGUCAGAGUGGAGUACGUCAGUGAGAAAUAUCUUGUGCCCUGUGGUUUUAUAAUUGCAAGAAAUCCAUGAGAUUUUUUUUCGUACUCUAUUACUUAUCUUUGGGGAUUAGUUAUAUUUUUACUAGGAAUAAAAUAUCGUAUUGCCUUACUUAACUUGUAUUACAGAGCAUUUCUGCUAACCUCUGGCCUUAUAUUUUUCAUCUGAAAAUCAGGGUCUGGACCAAUGGUCUCCAGAGCUAUUACCAUGCUAACAAUUCUAGCUUUGUUCUGUUUACCCCUUUGUACACUUGAGUGUGAAGUGUGAGUUAGUCUAGGUCUGUGACAUUUAAAUUUUCUGUCUCUACCAUUUUAAUGAGAAAAGAUAAAAGAUUUUCUUUGCAAAUCUGCUUAUGGAAUAUGGUUUGUAAUCUAUUUACUUUUUAGAACCUUCACAAGCUAAGAGGUAACAAAAUGGGAUUGUGUGCCUCUGAGACAUGCCCUCCUUUCUGUACUACAUUGGUCUCAGAAUCCCAGUGUAGGGUGUGGCAUAUCACAGUAAUGCUCUUGGCUGGUAACGGCUAAAUAUGAAGGUUAACUGGCUGGUAGGCUCUCACCAGGUGCAAAUAGAGAUGGCAUAACUCCCAGGACCAACAUAAAAGAGAUGGCUUAUCUAUCCUCUGUUUCGGCAUUCUUUCAGGUUUUCACAAAUACCUACUGUGAAAUUUAUCAUGAGAGUGGAAAGCCUUUUCUGAGAGCAUUCACAGGCCCAUUCAUGGUGCUAGUUCACCACUGAAAGUGUAAUGUAAAUAUACUAAUUUUGGAGACAGAGCCUCCUAAUACUGUUUUAAAUAAGUUGGCCCCUGUUUAAUGACAUCCCCACACACCUAUUGUCACCCAAAUGCCAUUCAUAAAGCCUUAAAGGAGAUCUAAUACACAGGUUAGAACCCAGGCAACAAACAUGCAUAUUCUCUUUCCUCUCUUCUUCUCUUUGGCAGUGUGACAAAAUCUUUCGGGGGAGUGGAGGAACUACUGGUUCACAAGCUCCUCAGGAGUUCCUCAGGUGUAAUCUGAAACUAUCUGACAAAAGGGAAGGGCAGUGAGUGGGGAAGAUGAGGCAGGCCACUCCAGGUUGGCAGGUGGCAGGUUUUAUAAGCAGGGGAUCUUAAUAGAAGGCUUGUGUCUUUGGUGGCUGCAAGCAGAGUGGAUCUCCAUACUUGCUUGCCACAUCUUAACAGUUUUAUAGAAGCCUUAACUGGACUCAGUCCUGUAUUAUUGUCCAGAUGGUCUCAACACCAUGUCACCAUCUCAAAGCUGUUCUUGAUGCAGGCUCUGGGAGCUGAGAAGGCAGGUGGAACUGACAUUCCAAGGACAGGAGGGGGUGAGGAUCCUCCUACAGCUGCGGCCCAGCUCUCUGGUCAUCUGGUGGUCACCUCUUCUGGAGGAUCUUCCUCAACAGGAACCAUUGUUUUUACUCCCUUACUUCACUCAAAGCCUUGACUCUUGAGUUCAGUUCCUGUCGGACCUUGGGAAGUUCACUGCCAGCACUCUCCCUUUGAACUCAGUCACUAAAAUAAUAUCAAGGCUAAGGGCUAGACAGGAGUUCUACUACAUAGGUCAGCUUGCAGUGCCUCAUUUAAUAAAGUUUUCUGUGCAGACAGUUGUUGUUUAUUCCUUUUAGACACAAAUCUCACUGUAUUUCUAGUGUCUAAAAUUAUUAAAACCAAAAUCUCUCAGAACUUUCCCAGCAUUUGGUAAAUCCAUGGGGUAGCAAUGGCUUAAGACAUGUUAAAUGCACUUGACAGCAAAACCCAUAAAUUUCAUUCAGUUUUUAAUAGGUAUUUAUUAUGCACAGGCCUAGAACUGUCUCAGCAGUGGAGAUACAGAACACUUUGUCCCUCCCUCAUGGAACUGGUCCAGAAAAACAGGUAAUUAGGCUCAGAACCUUUCAAAUGGAGCUUCAACUGGGUCAAAUCAAACUAAAUUCAUGAAAUCAAUAUGAAAGUCUUCAAUUACAUUAAGAAUGGCUUGAUGAACCCUAGGUGUAGAAAUUUCACUGGUUGAAAGUUCCAGUAAAACCUCAAUCACUGAUCUAAUGUAGUCCUUGAAAUUAGGAAACCAAACACUAGCCAUAUUUCUUUCCCUAUGUCUCAAGUUUUCUGAUGAGAAAAAUGUCAAUUCUAAGCUUAGAAAUAGAUGAAAAGUGUUUUUGAGGAUUAUUGAGGUGUAACUGACAUGUAACAUUGUGUACAGAUGGUUUUAGAGAACAACAGAUACCACAUUUUCUUAAGUAAGUGCAAACCCUGUGCCACAAACAUUUCCAAAAUAUCACAACUAUAAGAGAUCUGUCACAACUGUAAGAAUUCAGGUAAUCCCCACUCACUGUGUUUCCUUUCACUGUCUCCUUAAUGACAUCUCCUUCCAUUAAAUGUCACCACACCACAGUGUCUGAACUCUAAACUUUCAUUCACCUCCAGAUUAGUAUUUUUCUUCAGAGCUCUGCCAAGAUUUCAAACGUUGUGUUGGUUUCAGAUGAAGAGGGAAUUUCUUAGCUUGUUUAGCCCAGAACACCUUUAGCACACCCUGGAUAUAAAAUUGUUUAAAGUUUUGUCAGUUCUAGUGGAUGUAUUUGAGAUUUAUAUGGACAGAUUCCAUUUCCUCACCAUUCUUGCAUAUCUUAACCCUAUGGGACACAUGCGGUAUCCUCAACAUUCUAUAAACAAAAUAGCAGUUGAUACAGGUUGGAUUUUUAGAAUUUUUUCUUUAACUGAGUCCAAGAGUAACACACGAGUCAAUGUGGAAAACAAAAAGCACGAAGAAAAUGAAGUAGCCAUAAUCCUAUCAACCAUUAGUUAACUUUGGUGUAUUUCCAAUUAAUCUAUUUUAUAUUUAUCAAUAUACUUUUAUUCUAAUAAAAGGAAUGCCAGCAAUAGUGACUUUGAGACCUUUUUUCCAAUUACAAAUAUAUCAUUUCUCACAUUGGUAUUUCUUGUCACGUCUUGCUUGCAUAGAAUUUCAUCCCAUAAAGCCACCUAUCAAAAAUUCCUUAUACUUCUCCCAGACACUUAGAUUUCUAUUUUUGCAAAGUUCUUUGUUCACAUCUUUGAUGAUUUCUUUGGGAUAAAUAAAUGGAACAGUUGGAAUAAAAGUCAUAUCCAUUUAAAACUUUUAACAUCUGUAAAAGUUACGUUAAAAAUUAAAUGUCCGAUGGUGCUGGUCCUCCAUACCUUUACUCAUAUUGGUUGUUGCUAUCUUGAUUCUUUGCCAACGAAAAGGAAAAUGUCCACUCCUUGGGUUUGCUUUUAUUACUGGUCAUGUUUCUUUCUUUUUCUUAUAGUUCUACAGGGUUUCUCACAAGUCUUCAAAUACAUCUCGUUUGUUCUUAAUUUUCCAGCACUGAGACGUUGUUUCACCAGGGAAGUUCUCCUCCUUACCAAUUUCUACCCAUCCCAACAUUAAUGGCAUCUUUGUCCUUAAUGUUUGUCACGCAGGCAUUAUUUCCUCUUCAGGAAAACGUGUACUUGCUCAAGGGCAAGGGCCUCUUAGAGUUGACACUCAAUAUGUAAAUGACCUGGUGCUGUUUAAUAAUUGACGCGACCAGGAGGCCUCUCAGGGGAGGAAUGAGAGUAAUUCCCAUUAGGGGUUGGGAGGGCAGUGGCAAACCUUCUUUGGGAUUCUGAAACACAGCAGGGCAGGCCUUGAGAGGGCCACGGAAAUCACGUCUGGCAUUGAGUAGGGGCCCAGACAGUCCUGACAGUCUGGGGGACCCCAGGACAAACCUGGUCCCCGAGGGCCGCUAGCCCCGCACUGAUUCCCCUGCCUGGCUCUGGGUUUCUGUUCUCAGAUCGAUGAUUAUUGUUCUUCAAUCCAGAGCUCCGGAACAGGGACAAUGAGGACCUCGUCAGCUCUGGUUUCCUUCCCACCCUUCCGGAGGUGGGGCGGUGCCUAGGAACGCUAAGGUGGACUCGCCCUUCCCAGCCAGCCGCCGCUGGGCUUCCGGGAAGGUUUGCGGGGAGCGUGGCCUCACAAG
Manis javanica (Malayan pangolin) is the source of this 6249-nucleotide non-coding RNA. The record is from RefSeq and is a predicted model, not a curated record. Lineage: Eukaryota; Metazoa; Chordata; Mammalia; Pholidota; Manidae.